CAGCCGUAAACUAUGCUCGCUAGGUGUCAGGCAUGGCGCGACCGUGUCUGGUGCCGCAGGGUAAGCCGUGAAGCGAGCCACCUGGGAAGUACGGCCGCAAGGCUGGAAACUUUAAAGGAAUUGGCGGGGGAGCACAACAACGGGUGGAGCCUGCGGUUUAAUUGGACUCAACGCCGGACAACUCACCGGGGACGACAGCAAUAUGUAGGCCAGGCUGAAGACCUUGCCUGAAUCGCUGAGAGGUGGUGCAUGGCGUAGACGUCU
This 264-nucleotide ribosomal RNA is filed under the name uncultured archaeon. RNAcentral describes it as "partial 16S ribosomal RNA". It matches the Rfam family "Archaeal small subunit ribosomal RNA", at positions 748 to 1009 of the family's 1478-position model. The record is from RNAcentral.